GUGGGGAAUAUUGGGCAAUGGGGGAAAGCCUGACCCAGCAACGCCGCGUGAAGGAAGAAGGUUUUCGGAUCGUAAACUUCUAUCCUUGGUGAAGAUAAUGACGGUAGCCAAGAAGGAAGCCCCGGCUAACUACGUGCCAGCAGCCGCGGUAAUACGUAGGGGGCAAGCGUUGUCCGGAAUGAUUGGGCGUAAAGGGCGAGUAGGCGGCCCGGUAAGUCUGAAGUGAAAGUCCUGCUUUUAAGGUGGGAAUUGCUUUGGAUACUGUCGGGCUUGAGUGCAGGAGAGGUAAGCGGAAUUCCCGGUGUAGCGGUGAAAUGCGUAGAGAUCGGGAGGAACACCAGUGGCGAAGGCGGCUUACUGGACUGUAACUGACGCUGAGGCGCGAAAGUGUGGGGAGCAAACAGGAUUAGAAACCCGUGUAGUCC
This 425-nucleotide ribosomal RNA is filed under the name uncultured bacterium. RNAcentral describes it as "partial 16S ribosomal RNA". It matches the Rfam family "Bacterial small subunit ribosomal RNA", at positions 354 to 796 of the family's 1533-position model. The record is from RNAcentral.